GACGAGCCACCCGAACGUUAUUCGGAAUUACUGGGCUUAAAGGGUGCGUAGGCGGUGUAGCAAGUCGGGAGUGAAAUACCCCAGCUUAACUGAGGAAUUGCUUUCGAUACUGCUGCGCUUGAGUGAGACAGAGGUAAGCGGAACUUAGGGUGGAGCGGUGAAAUGCGUUGAUAUCCUAAGGAACACCAGUGGCGAAGGCGGCUCACUGGUCCGGUACUGACGCUGAGGUGCGAAAGCGUGGGGAGCAAACAGG
This 253-nucleotide ribosomal RNA is filed under the name uncultured bacterium. Its description in RNAcentral is "partial 16S ribosomal RNA". It matches the Rfam family "Bacterial small subunit ribosomal RNA", at positions 524 to 776 of the family's 1533-position model. The record is from RNAcentral.